Molecule: long non-coding RNA, 9241 nt
Organism: Mus musculus (house mouse)
Lineage: Eukaryota; Metazoa; Chordata; Mammalia; Rodentia; Muridae
Product: predicted gene, 53598
Exons: 2
Source: RefSeq, a predicted model, not a curated record
UUGCCAAACUGUUUUAUCUUUGUAGCUGAAACACUAAGUACUGGGUGUACAUGCAAAUUGCCGCCUUUCAGAUCCCUGUUUUCUUCAUGCGUUGGUCUGUUGAUCACAUCGGCGUUACAUAAAAAGGUGUUUUGGUUUCGAUGGUGCCUAUGCUUGGGUUCAUCUGGCAAUCGUUUAUGAUAAAGUCUCUCUGAUAUAUUUUAGACCACAUUACAUGUUGCUUUUAAUUAUUUUUAGAGAAUGAAAGUUAACUGUACAAACACUGAUCGCUCUCCAGAUUGGAGUCAGGGGAAUCUUUAGUCUAUUUCAGGAAAACGUUUUUAAGCACCAAUUUGACAGUCUGAGAAUGCUCACUGUAAAGACUUUUCUAAUGCACCAAAACCCAUCAAAAGCAGAGGUACCACGAGGGUAUUCUGUAAAGCUAACUUUGUUUAUGCAGAUUCUUCCCAGAGUUCUUGGUUUUCUUAAAAUGUAAGAAGGGAGCUAGAGAGAUGGCUUAGCAGUUAAGAGCACUGACUGCUCCUCUGAAGGUCCUGAGUUCAAAUCCCAGCAACAACAUGGUAACUUACAACCAUCCUUAAUGAAAUCUGACACCCUCUUCUGGUGUGUCUGAAGACAGCUACAGUGUACUUAGAUAUAAAUAACAAAUAAAUCUUUUCAAAAAAAAUUUUUUAAAUGUAAGAAGAACAUUUGACUCUGAGUGGCGUGAGACAUUGGAGGGCAGUGGAUAUUGACAGAAAUGCAAUUCUGAAUGCCCAUGAUUGGUGGCUGCUAGGACCCCAAGUUUAUUUUAAGCAAAAUACAUUACACUUUUUCUCUCCUAAGACUCUCAUUCUUGCUUUCUCCAGAGCCAGCCUGUGGAUAUUAUUGAAAUAUCUAGCUAUACUAACAAUUUAAGGCUAACAGACCUGUUCCAUACAGCAAAUAGUCAAAGUCAAAUCUCAGAUACUUAAAGAACGGGCCCUAGCUUUUAUUUUUGCCCCCAUAAUCAUCAUUAAUUUCAUGUGAGUGAAUAGUCUGUUACUGAAGUAAUGAAAAAGCACAUACUUGAGCUAAAACAAUUUUAUUUUAUUUUACUUUUGAUAUUUUGAGACAAGGUUUCUCUGUGUAGCAGAGUCCUGGCUAUCCUGAGCUAGCUAUAUAGACCAGGCUGCCCUGCAAACUCAAAGAGAUCCUGCUGCCCCUGCCUCCUGAGUGCUGGGAUUAAAGGCACGGGACACCACACCUGGAGAACUAAAACAAUUUUAAAGAUAGAUGUAAAGUGUUUCAUGUUAAUUUGGAACCAAAUAUAUGUAUAUCUCCGUGAAAUCAAUCGGUAUACAAGUGCUAGAUCUUGAGUGUAGUCUGACCCUUGAUGUGGCACUAACCCAUUUUAAUCCUAGAUGACCUAGCGCUGCUUUUCUUGCCUUGGCGUCUUCUUAUUCACUACAACAACAGCUGCUAAUGCUGACUGAUUACAGUGUGUCCUGCCGCACUUAAAAUCCCCACUUAAAAUGAAGACACCAGGUCACAGAGAGAAUAGCUUGAUAACCCAGACCUGAAUUUAAGUCUGUCUGACUCAAGAGCAUGAACCCUCCAAAAACACGGGGUCCCCUGGUUCUCCAAAGCCUCUGUUCUCAUCCUUGGAGAAUGACUUGAGAUCUGAUGACCUUGUGAGAAUUACCUGGUUUUAUAAUUCUGGGAAUCCUGUAUUCAGAACAGAAAAUAUCUGACCUAAAUUGCAUCGCCACUGAACAAUGAGAAGAAGAGAAAAGUUUCCAACCAUCCAGCCUCAUGAUGAUUUCAGAGAUUUCUAGGAGCCUGUGGAGAAGAACCAGGGCACAGUCACAAUCUGAGCAAAGCAAAAUCAAGCUCCAAAAAUGUAACUAGCAAUUAUCUAGAGCUCAUUCGCAAUCUUCUGGGCUCCUCCAAAAGGCUUGCGUCACUUUUCUGGCUCUACCUUCUACAGCAGCACACUCGGAUUGUCUUCUAGACUGGGGAUCUCUCCACUCCUCUGCUACUGCUAUUCUUGGUAGUCAACCCAUGAUCUUGACAUCUCAAAAAUGGUGUGGUCUUCUAUAACUGUGCUACACUUUCACCAGUAGCUUCUCCUGGUGAAGAAGACCACAUGGUGCCUCUCAACUGCUCUCCAUGACCCCCUUUCCCACCUUCAAAACUUAGCACCACCUGGGUAACUCAUAUACUACCAAGUCCAGCUGCCAGCAUGAGGUACAUCCCUUGACCAUCUCUAGAACACAGCUUGUUUCUUGACUCCCAGAAAACAAUUCCCAGAUCACCUCAAUGAUGCUGGCCUCUUCUUAGUUAAUCACAGCCAAUUCUUCAGUUGACCAGAUUCUUCACACAAAAGCCUCAGUCUUUGCUUCCUUCUGAAAUUUCACAAGCCAGGAUUCCAUUGUCUACAAUGCUCUCAACAUUCUUAUCUUCCUUCCAAGCUUCUACAAAACAAACAGCUCACUGAACUCUCAACACUCAAUGGCUUUUCUAGCCCAAAGUUCCAAGGUCCUUCCACAAUCCUCUCCCAAAACAUGGUCAGGUCUGUCAUAGCAAUACCCCACUAUGCUGAUACCAACUUAUCUUAAUUAGAGUUAUGAUUACUAUGAUGAAACAUCUGACAAAAAGCAAGCUGGGAAGGAGAGGGUUUAUUUGGUUCAUAGUUCCACAUUGUAGUCAAUCACUGAAGGAAGCCAGGGCAGGAACUCAAAAGGGCAGAGACCUGGAGGCAGGAACUGAUACAGAGGCCAUGGAAGGAUGCUGCUUAACGGCUUACUUGUCAUAGCUUGCUCAGCCUACUUUCUUAUAGAACCCAGACUACCAGCCUAGGGACGGUACCACCCACAAUGGGCUGGGCCCUUGCCCACCAAUCACUAAUUAAGAGAAUGCCUUAUGGAUGGAUCUUAUGGACACAUUUUCCCAGUUGAGGUUCCCUCCUUUCAGAUUACUCUAGCUUAUGUCAAGUUGACAUAACCUGGCCAGCCCACUAAGCAACAUCUUUGCAUGCUCCUCCAUUAUCAACAGCUAAGUGGUACCUUUGUUACAACUGAUGGACUCACAUUGACACUGUGAAAACUCUUGCUGCUGUACAUCCCGUAUAUCUGGACAAACCGACCAUGGCCUGCGUCUACCAUUACCAUGCAUGAUAGUUUCUCUACCCUGCAGUUCUCUGGUUUUCAGAGCUGUUUUAGAUUUUCAGAAAGAAAAAUGGUCCAUAAAUUACAGUGCUCACAUACACUCCCCCUACCGCUGCUGAAUUUACAGCUUCUCUUCUUGUGAAACUCCUGUGUUGGCACGAUAUAUUUGUCACAAUUAGGGCCAGUGUUCAUGUUCAGUAUUAAGUAAAGUUUGUGGUAUAUAUUAAAAGUCAUCCUUCCUGUUAGCAGAGUUCUAGGGCUCUAUAAAUAUGCAACAAUGUGUCUACCAUUUCUUCCUGGUUGCUCCCAUGAUUUGGAAAGUGUACAGAUGCUGUAAAAAUAUAAACAUUCCUAAACAAGUACAACAUCUCUUCCCCUGGAUGAAAACUCUGGAUAAUGUCCCUCUUUGUUCUCAAUGUGUGUAGUGAAGAAUCAGUAGGAACUGGCUUUGAACCCUGAUAAUAUAUUAUUGAGCAAAAUUGCCAUGUCUGCUUUGUCCUUUUAGAUUUUCUUUAAUAAAAGCCCAUCUGACAGGCUUUGGUACUAAGCCAUAGUUUUGCUUCUUCAUAGUAGCCAGGCUGUACAUUUCCUGUAUUCUGACAGCUUUGCAGACAUUCCCACUUAAGAUUAGAAAUACAAAAACAUGUACUACCGACAUGGGGGAGAGUCAGAAAAGAGAUCUCUUUCAUCUUAACAUAGUCAUUUCGUGCUGCCUUCUGUGUGAGUGGUUUAGCUAAAUCCAUGUUCUGAAACACGGGCUUUAUUUCCUAAUCAGUCCCUGGAGGGAAAUUGUUAGGUCUAGGGUGCUAAAUAUGAUGCCCUUCAGGCAGGGUUCCCCAUAAAAGAGAGCUUUCUUUCCGGCUUCCUCACAUGACACUGGAGAGAUGGCAGCGGGGGAGGGCCCGUGCUACCCCUCACCCUCGACAGCAGGGAUGGUGUGACGUGCCCUUCUCUGUGGCACCUGCCUUAUUGUGAUUGUUAGAUAUGCACAGUUCCUGCCUCCAUCACAUCUCAAACACACUGGCUUCUUCCUCCAAAUGGUUGAGUAAAAUUCAUGGGGAGAUUUUCUUUAGAAUCUUUUUUUCUUUUUUCCUCUAACGCAGCUCUGAGGCUGGUACCCCUUUCAUUGUACCGGGUCUCUAUGCCCAUAGUAUAUAAGAGUAUUCUAAGGUUUAGGAAUCCUGGACUUUCAUUUCCACUUUGUGAAGUCCAUUUCUAAAAUGGAGAAAACAAAUGAAAGAGAUGACAUAUGUAGCUCUACAAUUGUAUAUUUGGUUCCGUUGUCCCUAAAUCAGUUGGAAGUUGCUUUUUCAAACAUAGGACUGAGUUUUAUAGAGCUCUAAUUAUAUUACUUUGGCCAUUGUGUGAUUUGGGGUUUGUUGUGUGUAACUCCCAUUUUGAAGAUUUCAAUGUUCGCUGCGCUAAGACGUAGUUCUGGCCAAUGUGAAGAUCUAUUUAAUUUUGCCUCUCUGGUCUUAUCCGUACCCCCACCCCUGUAUUUUGCCUGGAGUUUAAUCAUCACUAAGAUACAGAUCCCCAUCAUUUCCCUAAUUCGAUUAAAUAUGCCAUUAGAAAAUGUAGGGCAUUAUAUUCAAUGUAAUACCCUCUGCAAACGUACUAUCUAGAAUCUCAUUGUUGGCAAUCAGCAUUAUUCACAGGUGUUUGUUUGUGAUCUUGGAAAUUGCUCUUUAAAGGGAGAUUAAAGGAGGCUAGGCUAGGGUAUAGGCUCAGUUGGUAAAGCACUUGUUUUGUAAGCAUGAGAACUUUAGUUCAGGCAGAUUUCCCCAGUAGCCACAGAAAAUGCCAGCCAAAGCAGCACAAGCUCCAUGGAGGCAGAGACUGAUCCCCCAGAGCUCAGCUUGCCAGCCUACCAGUCUAGCAGAAUCAAUGGGUUAUAGUUAGAGACCCUGUCUCCAAAAAAAAAAAGGUAGAGAGCAAUUGAGGAAGACACAUAACGUUAACUCCUAGCCUCAACAUGCACACAUGCUGUACACACACACACACACACACACACACACACACACACACACACCAGAGAGAGAAAGGGAGAGAUAGAGAGACACAGACACACAAAAAUACAUAGAGAGAAACAAAGACACAGACAGACACACAGACAAAACACAGAGAGAGCGACAGCGAGACAGAGGCAGAGGCAGACACACAGAGAGACACAGGCACACAAAAAAGCACACACAGAGACAGAAAGACACAGAGAGACAUACAGACAGACAAAAACAUACAAACACAGAGAGGAGUUAGAGAAGUAGAAGAGAGACAGAGAGGCAGAGGAGAACAAGAAGGUAUCAGUGCCUGAUUUUUAAUGAGGCUAAGAGAGAAUAAGAAAGUCAGAAAUAGGCAGGCUCUCAGAGAGUGUUAAAAUUUUGGAGUCUUUGUACUUUCAACAUGGGCCUCAUUAGGUCUGUUCUCCUUAAUUUGUAUAAUUUUUAAACUUUCAAGCUGGAAGGACCUCUAACGUGUGACUUUUCAAAUAUGUAGAUUUCUGGAUAAUAGUCUGUGCUUUGGUCUGCGCUCUACCACUGUCUUUGUUCUUUGCUGUGCUUUCAAAGAAGCAACACCAGGAGGAAGCUGAAAGGGCUUUUUUUUUUUUAAGUUAGAAUGUGUCCUUCCUUAAAAGGAACUAAAACUGAAGCUAUGAUUCAAAAGUUCAAAGCCACCCUGAGCUAUGGAGCAAGUUCGUUGCUCUUUGCAUAGAUCCUUCUGAGAGAGAAUGUCAUCUGCAGUGUUUGCAGGGAGAGCUGCAGUUAGGAAGCAAGCAGGGACAAGCAUAGCAAAGGCUAAGAUCUGCUGUCAGCAUUUCAGCUGAGGUUUGCUUUAUGCACCAUCACCUUCGGGAGGGUGGGGGGUGGCGGGGGGAAUCGUGGAAUCAGGUCCCCACCUUCUUCUGAGGCCCCCUGGGCUUUUUAUUGGGAAGACUGAGCCUACCACAUAACUGACAACCACCAAUGAGCCACUUUCCAGUCACUGAAAGAUGGCAGAGGUUUAUUUAUUUAUUUAUUUAUUUAGCCUUAAUCGCCACUCGUCUUAAAGUCUCUUUCUAAAUAUGUUUAUUUUCAUGAACAUCAUUGGCCACAUAGGGCCAGCACCAGCACUUGGGAGGAGCAAACAUUCAAAGCUACCCUGAGCUAUGUAGCAAGUUCAAGGCUCUGUCUCAAAUAAAUUUAAGUUCUCUUUGACCCAAAUGUAUUGUUAUGUUUAAUGUUCAUUGUUUAACCAUUUCACUACUGUCAGAAUAUCAGCAUAGCAGCCUGGUGUGCUGGGGGAAGGGCACAUUCUAAGAUCUUCCGAAUAUACUGGCACUGGCUGAAAUCCACCAGUGUUUACUACACGUUAAACACGGACUUAUCUGGUGUAAUCCUCAUAACUGUACAAAGAGGAUGUUGCAAUAGCCAUUUUAGAAUUGAAGUAGCUGAGUAGAGAGGGUAGCUAGCCACAAAGCUAGGGAGACACGGCCGUAGGAGUCCAAGUGUAUCCUCCUAUGCCAUUUUUAGGAGGUGUUUUGGGAUUGGUUUGGUUGUUGUUGAAACAUGAUCUUACUGUGAAGUUCAAGCUAGGCUCCAACUCUCAGAUCUCCUACGUCAGCCUCCUGUUAGCAGAGACUACAGGCAUGUGCCACUGCAGCCGGCUGUCUUCCUGGGCUCUUGUGCUCUGUACUGGGAAGCCUUGCAUAAAAAGGAUCACUUCAGUGGAUCAGAAAAUUCAGAUGGACACAUACACACACACACACACACACACACACAUACCAUACAUACACACUCACACGAAUAUACUCAUGUAUACACAUUCAAACACACAUACACACGCAUACACACACACACAUAUAUACACACUGCUGAAGUUGUUUUUACAAGUAAUAGAUUUAAAGACUCAAUACAGGGCUAUGGUGACAGCCAGUUUAACCCAUCACUGCGAGGUCUUAUCUAAAAAAAGAAAAAAUAAUAAUUAAAUGUCAAGCAAUAGAGUAAGAUAACUGCUGUGUGUACAUGUAUAUACAUAUAUACCACAUGCACAAAAAAUAAAAACUCAAAAAACCCAAAGAAAGGUAGACGGCAUCUGAGGAAGGAUAGCCAAGUUGCCCUCUGACCAUGAAUACCCCCCCCCACACACACACACACACACACACACACACACACACACACACGCAUGUAUGAAGACUCAAUAAAUUGGCUUAAGCUUAAAAAAUCGUAAAUGUUUAAGCCUUAUUUUUUUAAUUGCACAGAAUUGCAAAAUAAUUCUUCAUUACCUGCUUCCAAAACAGAGAGCAGAAGGAAGAGAUGAAAAGAACUAAUUUUACCACCUAGAGGUGGUAAGCAUCUUCCUGCUGACACCUUGUUCACGCGUGCUCCCUCAGAGUCGUUCCUUAGGCCCUCCUGGGCAUUGCUCCUUCUCUAAAACCUGGGAAUGUUCUGUACCUGUUGUGUUACGGUCUAUUUUAAACCACGGUUAUAUUUGGGAAACUUUUUUUUUUAAGUAUUUCAGUAACUCUUCAUCCUCAGUACUAUUUCUGGUGGUUGAUUAUAAUAUUCCAAUCCAGAGUUAAAACAAUCUUGCAGCCAGUUCCCUGGGCUAUUGUGUCCAGUUCCAAUUUAAAAAAAAAAAACAAAACAAAACAAAAAAAAACCUUAUAAGCAGGUUCUUUGGCAAGCCCUGAUUAUGUCCCUAGAAUAAGCCACUAAAUGGCAAAGGGCAUACCCAUUUCAAAAUUUUUCAGAACUAGUGCCAAACUGCCUUCUAAAAACUCACAAGCCGUGAGGGACCGUGACCACUGGUGGCUUUCAGCCUCCGGUGCUUGCUGUCUUUGACGUGCCCCUCCCUGUCACUGGGGACCUCAGGAGAAGCCAAGCAUCUUCAGUAUGCCGUCUAGUCUUUACCUACAUCUAUCUAUUCUGCCUGUAACUCUGGUAUCUCUUUAGGACUCUUUAUUUCAUGUGAAGAAUGUUUUCAGCUCUUACAGCCCUCUGGAAACCAUGAAAGGAUUAAAUAAUCCUUGCUAAUUGCUCUCAAGACCAAGAGCUGUAGCAAAAUGCUAAUGGCAGACUUUUUUUUUUUUUUUUUUUUUUUUUUUUUUUGGAAAUCACUUGUCAAACUCGAGUUGAUAAACUAGCUCCUCGGAAUGAACGCAGGGUGCCGCGCAGCUGGGUUUACGUGCACAGCGUCAGAGAACAGCGCUGACAGUGACUCUCAAUCAAACUGAUCAACUGCAGUCGCACUUACAAAGUGUGGGCCCCAAACCUGCAGCGUCAGCAGCAUCUGGAAAUUUGUUAGAAUUGCAAAUGUGUGUGCGGGCCCCAGCCCACUUUGCCGAGCCUCUGGGAGUGGGUCCCCGUAAUCAGUCAUUUGCUGGAUUCAUGAUACCAUCACAGACUUGAGAUACACUCCGUAGGUGGAAAGCCACUGCCUUGGUCCCCAGGGCAUUCCACUGAGGAUCCUGUGUAAGUCAGCUGUUCUGGAUAGAUGCCUUAUGUCACUGUGCCUGGAAAUUGGCCAGGCCUAGGACAGAGUUAAGGGCAUCACUUUGGGCCAUGCUAAAUUUGGGCAGGACUUUAUUUCUGAGUUCUUCAGCAGUUCACACUCCAAGCGAGGAGAUGUGUUUGGAAUGGCCACUGCUCACUCUAUUCAAGUCACAUAGUCUUGGUUAGUGCUCUCUGUUCCCUCGGCCUUUGGGGCAGAGUUCUUGAGGCCACAAAAGUGGCCACAUUUCUCAGCCAAACGAGGCACUCAUUAGUGACACUUGAAGGCCUAAACUAUUUUUUAAAGAAAUAGGGGGGGGGGGGUCCCAGCUGCCACCAGGAAUCAUUCUAACCUCCUAAGAGUUCCUUCCUACCUUUCCUGGUACCAAUGACGGGAACCAGGGUGAAGUUGCAGAAAUGCAAACCUAGCCCUCCUCCUUGAGGCUAUAAAAUCACCUAUCACCAAAGAACUACCCCAGGAGCCUCUUGAUAACCUCACAUCACAUCUCCUCUGGCUUGGGGUACCACGGCUCUCGUAAAGGUUCUCUACACCCCCAGCCCUCUGCUGUGAUCAGCCUUUGGCUUCAGCAGCCAGGAGAGUACCCUAUGAAAUGACUAUAUCAUCUACUUCUGACCUUAAAAAAA